AGUAGUUUGAUCCGUGGCUCAGGACGAACGCUGGCGGCACGCUUAACACAUGCAAGUCGAACGAACGAAGAGAAGCUUGCUUCUCCUAGUUAGUGGCGGACGGGUGAGUAACACGUGAGCAACCUGCCUUCGAGCGAGGAAUAAUGGCUGGAAACGGCCACUAAUACCUCAUAACGCAGCGGUACCGCAUGAUACUGCUGCCAAAGAUUUAUCACUUGAAGAUGGGCUCGCGUCCGAUUAGUUAGAUGGUGAGGUAACGGCUCACCAUGACCGCGAUCGGUAGCCGUACUGAGAGGUAGAACGGCCACAUUGGGACUGAGACACGGCCCAGACUCC
This 336-nucleotide ribosomal RNA is filed under the name uncultured Ruminococcus sp. RNAcentral describes it as "bacterial SSU rRNA". It matches the Rfam family "Bacterial small subunit ribosomal RNA", at positions 1 to 339 of the family's 1533-position model. Lineage: Bacteria; Bacillati; Bacillota; Clostridia; Eubacteriales; Oscillospiraceae. The record is from RNAcentral.